This 274-nucleotide ribosomal RNA is filed under the name uncultured bacterium. Its description in RNAcentral is "partial 16S ribosomal RNA". It matches the Rfam family "Bacterial small subunit ribosomal RNA", at positions 523 to 796 of the family's 1533-position model. The record is from RNAcentral.
AUACGGAGGGGGCAAGCGUUGUUCGGAAUUACUGGGCGUAAAGGGCGCGUAGGCGGAUUAUCAAGUCAGAGGUGAAAGCCCUGGGCUCAACCUGGGAACUGCCUUUGAAACUGAUAGUCUUGAGUCCGAGAGAGGAUGGCGGAAUUCCCAGUGUAGAGGUGAAAUUCAUAGAUAUUGGGAAGAACACCAGUGGCGAAGGCGGCCAUCUGGCUCGGUACUGACGCUGAGGCGCGAAAGCGUGGGGAGCAAACAGGAUUAGAUACCCCGGUAGUCC